AAACACAGCUCCCUGCGAACUCGUAAGAGGAUGUAUAGGGGGUGAUGCCUGACCAAUGCCGGAAGGUCAAGUACGGAGGGUACAUGCAUUUAUGUAUGUGCUGGACUGUAUAAGCCCCGGUCAAUGUCGGCGAUAACUAUAAGAUGAUUGUAGUUAUAAAAUUCAGCUAUAUGCUGGAAACUCUGCGCAUAUCAAAGUACCCAAGUAAAUUAUUUGGGUAAUAAUCUUUGAUCGAUGUCUAAUUCUAACGGAUUAGAUAAGCAGACAAUCAGCAGGGAAGAUUCUUGAUUGUUGAAAAGUGCGAAAAAGUGAAGCGAAGGAGAAAGAUGAUGAAAGACAUCGGAAAACUGCUACCGGGAAAGACGAUCAAAUUGGUCGUUCUCCCCGACGACGCCCCGACAGACGGAAAUCCAUAUCAGGUCGAAUUCCAAUUCACCGAUAGAUCGUCCGUUACCAUCGUUGCGGUGGACAGCGUCGAAGACAAGGGCGAGUUCGAGACCGUGUACGGGUCUCCCGAUCCGAUUCCGAAUCUGUAAAGAAAUCACUUCGACAGUUCUUAAAACAGGCAAGUUCGCUUGCCCGCACUUUUCAACAAUCAAGAAAACCCACAGAGACUACACGCUGAACUCGCUUCUCUUAAUUGAGAAAUAACGAGAUGAUAUAGUCCGGCCUCUUUGGCGACAAAGAGAAUUACGCGCAGCUACUGUUUUCGCGCGUAGAUUAACAUAGGCAAAUCGUCCUAAGGUUUCGCUCCUCUCGAAAGAGGGAGGCGGAAGGACUAGGACAUUUGUACUGUGAGCCAAAAAGACGCUGCCUCGCUGUGAAGUAAUUCACAGUUGGUCUUGAAAACAUGGCUAUAUGCUGGAAACUCCUAUGGUACAAUUGCACCAUAGAUGAGCAAUCAGCAGGAAAGGCCAGGAAUUGAAGAGUGGAUCGUCGGCUUUGCCGAUGGCGAAGGAUGUUUCUCAGUAAGCAUUUUUCGCAACAACACCACAAGGCUCGGAUGGCAAGCGUUUCCUGAGUUCGUAAUAACUCAAGGACAGCGAAGCCUUCCGGCGCUCGAAAUCUAUCUGAAGCACUUCAGGUGCGGAAAGAUCUUCGUCAAUAAUCGUUACGAUAAUCAUCAUGAGCAUUUGUAUCGGUAUUGCGUACGAUCAAUAAAGGAUUUACGGGAAAAGAUAAUCCCGUUCUUCCGAAAGCAUCCACUUCGCACUGCGAAGCAGAAAGAUUUUGAGCUAUUCACGGAGAUCGUCGAUAUGAUGACAGAAGGAAAGCAUCAGUCGAUGUCAGGUAUGCGGUCGAUAGCGCGCAAGAUUGAGCGCAUGAAUCGCAAGACCAGAUCUCAAUUCCUGGAAUCCUCAGAGACUACACGCCGUGCUCCCGCUAAGGGAUGAAGAUAUAGUCCAAAGGUUAAGGAACCUAGAGCGAAAUUCCUUGUCUGGUAAGUUCAGACGCGCACGAAUGGUAUAACGACUUGGGAACUGUCUCGGGGAUUUGCUCGGUGAAAAUACAAGGGCGGUGAAGAUGCCGCCUUCCUGCAGCUAGACGAAAAGACCCCAGAAGCUUUACUGCAACUUGGUAUUG
Molecule: ribosomal RNA, 1584 nt
Filed under: Candidatus Colwelliibacteriota bacterium
Lineage: Bacteria; Candidatus Colwelliibacteriota
Description: partial 23S ribosomal RNA
Rfam family: Bacterial large subunit ribosomal RNA
Source: RNAcentral